CUUGCUUGUAAACGCGCGUGCUGAUCCAGCCGCCCGUCUUCUUGUUUUCGAAACCCCACUUCAUUAGAGAUUGAGUUUGAAACCUUUAUUUACAUCUAGUAAUUUAGUACUGGUUCUACUUGUUCUUGCUGGUUCUUCGAUUGCUUGCAGGACGAGUGCCCUAGUGGCCGGGUGUUGCGCUCCACAAGAUCGUGACAGCCAUUGGAGGCGGUGUAUCGGUUGCUAAGGCGCGGCCUUAGAAGGCUGUAGUCGGGCCGUGAACGUCAUCUCCAUUCACUAAUCGAGUUAUCCAGCGCCUCUCAUCGAAAGAUCAGGCGAAAACCCUAGUGGUUCACACGCCCAUGUGUAUGUAUCUCCCAUGUCUAGCCAUCAUGUAGGUAGAGAGUAGCUAAGUAGUGCCUAAGUGAGUAUGGUAGCUUAUCGAGAAGGUAGAAUGUAUGUCACGUACUUGAGAUGAUAGCUCUAACUUGUAAGCUUUGCUUUGCUUAUAUAGGGGCUCAUUUUAUUUUCUAGAGGGAGUUAGCAAUUAACUUGAUGUGUCAUGACGCAACAGAGGUGCAUGCGCAGCAACCAAUGGAAUAACCAACCAGCCAUGUCUUUCUCCAAAGAUAUUAAAUAUAGUAAGGCUGAAACAGCAAUAUAUUUGUAUCCAGUAUUCAACAGGGUGUAAAUCAUAGUGUUGAGGGAAUGAUUAGCUACUGUUUUUUUACGACAUUUCAGGUGACGUUACCCCUGAGUUUGCCCUGCUAUCAAUGUCGAAGCAAUCUUUUUAGCAGUUACAUUGCCCUGCUAUCUGUGUGUUAUAAUGAAUGAUAAAUAAAGUGUGCAACCUAUAGAGAGCAUCUUGCAUACUUGCGGCUGGUGAUAUUCUGUUUCAGCUAUUAUCAUUGGUGAUAGUCUGUUUCAGCCAUUGUCAUUGAAUAAGACCGUUCUCAGUUGGGAAAUUUAAUUUAGCAACUUUUAUCUAGAUGAACAGACGUUGAACAUGCACUGAUCAGGAGUUUGGUGUCCAUGAUUCAAGGAUGUCAAGCAACAGAGUAAGGCCUUGUUUAGUUCUGAUUUUUUUUAUUUUGGUACUGUAGCAUUUUCGUUUUUAUUUGACAAUUAUUGUCCAAUCAUGGACUAACUAGACUCAAAAGAUUCAUCUCAUGAUUUACAUGUAAACUAUGCAAUUAGUUUUUUGUUUUUAUCUAUAUUUAAUGCUUCAUGCAUGUGCCGCAAGAUUUAAUGUGACGGAGAAUCUUGAAAAGUUUUUGGUUUUUGGGGUGAACUAAACAAGGCCUAAGGUUAUCUUGGGUUACCGGUUGGCGCACCAAUGCUUUUGGAUGCUUCUUUUGGUGAUGAUGCAUUUUGGUAAGUUGUCUUCCUGCAAUGUUAGUCUUUGAAC
Molecule: long non-coding RNA, 1387 nt
Filed under: Sorghum bicolor (sorghum)
Lineage: Eukaryota; Viridiplantae; Streptophyta; Magnoliopsida; Poales; Poaceae
Description: long non-coding RNA (SBIC_LNC015448)
Source: RNAcentral